Triticum aestivum (bread wheat) is the source of this 970-nucleotide long non-coding RNA. RefSeq lists it as uncharacterized. Lineage: Eukaryota; Viridiplantae; Streptophyta; Magnoliopsida; Poales; Poaceae. The transcript has 4 exons. The record is from RefSeq and is a predicted model, not a curated record.
CGCCGCUGCUGCGGAUCCCCACGGACGAUGCAGACGCCGCCGAACAGAGCAGGGCGUGGUCGCGUUGCACUGAUUGGAGGAGACCGUGCCGGCCAUGCCCUGUUUGGAGGAUGAACACAGGUUCACCGCCAUGGCUAUGAGAGGACGCAUUUGUGGAAUCCCCUGCACGCAACGGACGGAUCGAUUGUUUGAGCGGGCGCAAGGAAAGAGAUCUGGGCCUGCUUGAGGGGGUGAGCUGACAUGGGAGACCCGAGCUGCUGUUCAUCUCCUGCUGCUGCUAUAUUGACCUCUACUUGAAGUCAGGAGCCAAAUUGAAGAUCAAAUUCAGCUUGGCUCAUCAACGGUCGUCAGCUCAUCGUCUUGGCGAUUGCGCGCAUAGCACGAGAUGGUCCGUGUAGGCGCAGCAGCAAGCAGGGGGCGAAUCGACCUAAUGCCAACAUAUGCAGCAGGCAGCCACCAGCCGGGUGAAUCCAUCUAAUGUAGCAGUAAGCAAGCAUUAUGUGCACAUGUAGCAGGAAGCUGCUCGUACAACAUUCAAUCAAGUUGCAUGGAGUAGCUAGCUAGCUUCACACACGAAUAUGCAUGUGUGUAUCCUUCGAGGGUAUUCAUCUAAUAAUAAUGGGGUUGGGAGGAGUAUUAUUCACUAAUGGGUUGGAUCAAACACUUAGUAUGCAUAGUAGUAAUUUUUUGCUUGCAGUUUUGGAAGGCGGGGUCGUGAUCUGUUUGGCCUCUAUGAGGCUCCGCCAGUGCUGGAUGGUGAGGAGUGGUGAUGUGUAGAGAAGAGAAGGGGCACCUUGCUUGAGAUAUCUCGAUGGGGAUUGGGUGCUGUUGCUACUGCUUUUUUUUUCUGAACGAGAUGUGGCGGCACCGAUAUGGUCUGAGCAGGGGAGCACGGCAAAAAUGCUAAUUGCUCCCUGACUCUCUUUCAUUUGAUUGCAGAAUAUUGUGCUUACUCCCAUCUCUCGCGCUC